RNAcentral lists this ribosomal RNA (558 nucleotides) under [Candida] koratica (nom. ined.). RNAcentral describes it as "eukaryotic LSU rRNA". It matches the Rfam family "Eukaryotic large subunit ribosomal RNA", at positions 62 to 648 of the family's 3401-position model. Lineage: Eukaryota; Fungi; Ascomycota; Pichiomycetes; Serinales; Debaryomycetaceae. The record is from RNAcentral.
AAACCAACAGGGAUUGCCUUAGUAGCGGCGAGUGAAGCGGCAAUAGCUCAAAUUUGAAAUCUGGCGUCUUUGGCGUCCGAGUUGUAAUUUGAAGAAGGUAUCUUUGGUUCUGGCGCUUGUCUAUGUUCCUUGGAACAGGACGUCACAGAGGGUGAGAAUCCCGUGCGAUGAGCAGCCCAGUUCCGUGUAAAGUUCCUUCGACGAGUCGAGUUGUUUGGGAAUGCAGCUCUAAGUGGGUGGUAAAUUCCAUCUAAAGCUAAAUAUUGGCGAGAGACCGAUAGCGAACAAGUACUGUGAAGGAAAGAUGAAAAGAACUUUGAAAAGAGAGUGAAAAAGUACGUGAAAUUGUUGAAAGGGAAGGGCUUGAGAUCAGACUUGGAAUUUUUCCCUUUUAAUUUAGGGGAGCUUUCUGGGCCAGCAUCAGUUUGGACGGCAGGAUAAUUGCGUAGAAAAGUGGCUCUACUUCGGUGGAGUGUUAUAGUCUGCGUCGAUACUGCCAGUCUAGACUGAGGACUGCGUCUUUAUGACUAGGAUGCUGGCAUAAUGAUCUUAAGCCGC